UUGACCUUGACCCCAAUUUUGCAGCUGUCGCAUGGAAGGAUACUGACACAUUUCCUUCUUCAUCCUCGUUGUAUCGACAUCAUGGGUGUUCGUUCAUCUCGAGAGCUUCAACAAGAAGAGAUCGAGGAAAUACAACGCGAAACUGGAUUUUCCCACAACCAGAUUGUGAGACUAUAUGGCAGGUUUACCAACCUUGAUAAGUCCAACAAUGGGGUACUUAGCCGGGAGGAUUUCUUGAGGAUACCAGAAUUGGCCAUAAACCCUUUGGGAGACAGAAUUGUGCAUUCUUUCUUCCAAGACAGGACUGAGGUCAACUUCCGGCAGUUCAUGAAUGUCCUGGCCAGGUUCCGCCCACUGAAGGCAAAAUCUGAGAGAAACAUCCUGAACACAAGGGAGGAAAAGUUGAUGUUUGCUUUCAAGAUGUAUGACCUUGAUGGAGAUGACCGGAUUUCCAAGGAGGAGCUUCUGUCUGUUCUACACAUGAUGGUGGGGGCCAACAUUUCAGAAGAACAGUUAGGCAGCAUUGCCGACCGAACAAUCGUGGAGGUGGAUGAGGACAAAGACACCAUGAUAUCUUUCCAGGAGUUUGUAAAGGCUAUGGACCGUGUUGAUGUCGAACAGAAGAUGAGCAUCCGGUUUCUUCAUUAACUGACAGAACUGAUGCAGAAACGGAUGCAAACGAGAAGAUGACAAUUACCAUGACAACAGCCAUAUUGGACUUAAAAAUAUUAUAUUGUUGAUUAAAUCAGUGACUCUGUGCUUUCAUGAACCAGUUAUGAACUGAUAAUAAGAUACUAAUACGACUAACUUGUUAUAUCUAAGCAGACAUUUGUAAUGACCAAACUUAAGCAGAAUGUUGGCAGUCAGGUGUUUAAGUUAAUUAUUGUCAAGGAAUAACGGGUAACAUGAAGGAUUUUACAGUUCAUCCUUGUAAGACACUUAAAUGAAAAUGGGUUGAUAAUUCCACUUACAGAAGACUUAUGCACUGACUAAGAAAUAUAUUUUCAGCACAUUUUGUCAUUAAAUGUCUAACUAUCUGGGCAUUUGCAACAAAACACAUUGGUCAGUAAUGGAAGAACCAGCAAUUGAAUCCUACAUUUCACAACAUUCCAUUUUAGAUGCUUUUUAAUCAAAUUUCUUUACAGAACUGUUGUGAUUAUGAUAAUUUGAUCUUCAAGGCAUAAAGCAUGUAUGUUUAUCCUCAGUCAGCUCCCGACAUGUAAGCAGUUUAUUACAGGAAAAAAGGGUACUGUUAAUUCUCAUCCAUGGAUAGUACACUUUAUCAAAAUAUGAAAAUCAACCUUCCCAUACAAAAACCUUUUUGUCAUGACUGCAAUUUGGUUCUAGGGUUAUUUCUUUUCCUAUCUCAUAUCAUAUGGAUGUUUUGGUUUCAUAGAACAUAAAAAUACUUUUUCUUAUCUUCCCGUAAGUUUAGGACAUGCUUAAGCAUGUAGGCCAGUCAACAUUGUCUCCUUUUAAAGAUUUACUAUUUUUAAUCAUUGCACUUAGAGACUUAGAGUAGAAUGUUUGAUGUUUAUGGGAUACCUUUCUACUACAUUCUGUAUUUUUUUACUUCAUGUUUUGUCUUUGAAUGGCUUCAUAAAUUGAUACCCCUAAGGAAGAGAAUUUAUCCAUAAGUUCUCUUCCUUCAUGUUUUAUUUUUUUUACUUUUAUCAAUACCACCAAACCAAGAUUCAUUUAUAAAUAAACAAAUUUCUGGUUCGCCCCUGUGGUUGCCAUCAUGCUGUGAUCAUGGGUUCGAAUCCCAGCAGACUCACACUGAUUAUGAUCCUUAGCUUGCCUGUUCCGUGCUCGUGUUUGUAGGUUUUGUCAAAGUGAUAAACUGCUGAGACCAAUGUUACUUCUGGCUUUUCCCCAAAACUGAAGCUUUCACACAAUGACCAACUGUUCAAACGUGGACUUGCGCACAAAUUACUCACUAAAAUAUUACAGUUAGUGUGAGAUUCAAUGGAACAGAUCAGUUAAGUAUUUGAAUGAGGCCAUGAGUUUAAUACUGUCAUCCCAUAAAAUGUGAAAUCCUACAUUUGGUCAAUGAUGUAGAAGAGCAUCAGGGUCCUGGGUGCCGUUCCACUAACCUCUCUUCUUCUUCACGUAGAAGAAUGAAAGCCGCCAUUUUGGUUUCUCUUUGUUCAUGAGCAACUUUGACUUUGGAUCUUAACUUUCUAUUGACUUGGGCUAAGAUCGGUUAGUGGAACGGUAUGCCGAUCGUAACGUCACGCUAACAUUGGGAUUUUUGGGGGUUUACGAUUGGCGUAGGGCUAAGAUCGGUUAGUGGAACUGCACCCUGUUCCACAAAGCAAUCUUAGCUCAACGAUGGUUAUAAAGACCAUAUCUUAUCGCAACUUAUGACAGUCGUUGAUCGUGGAUCGCUUUGUGGUUUAGGAUUCUGAUCAUGAUAAUGACAUUGUCUGUUAUAUAGCUUGAGAUGUUUUGCACUGAAGAAGUCCAUGAUAGUUGAUAUUUGUCAUAUGUUAGAUCUUUGCAAUACCAGCAUCUUUACACCAACUGUUGACGAUGCUAGUGUCUUCAUUAUGGGGCUCCUGGUUGAUGUUGAUGUAUAGAUGUGACUAUAAGAAAAUAAUAGACGUGCUAUGUACUUUGUGUGUGUGUGUGUUGAAAAAACCACUUGCCUUCAGCUAGUAAUGCAUGUUAUGGUGCUAUUCUGCAGCAUGCUUGUGAUGUUUAGCAUUCAGCUGUGAGAUAUGCGCUUAUAAGGGACAUUUUUUAAAUGGGUUAGGAUGACAUCGUUUGGUAUCAAUAUUUUUUCCAGACAACCUAUAUGUGUGGCCUUUUCAGUUACUAUGUAAUCUCUGAGGACAUAUCACAUCAUAUCAUGGCAGGUUUACCUGCUGGGGUCUCCUUAUUCAUGGCAUCCCAAUCUCAGUAAUGGCUGACCAAAAGCAUGUUUCAUUAUAGCUGGCAUCAGUAAUGAGUGACACAGAUUGCAUCUGGGCAGGGGUCACUGCACUUCACUACACAGUGAACAAAGGUUCAAAUCCCAGAUUCUCCAUGAUUAUGAGUGAGGUUUGUCAGCAUCAUGCCUAUUCUCGGGGAUCUCACCAAAGCAGAAAGGUGUAACACUUGCAUCACUGGGCUAAAUCAUGCUGGCUUAAUAUAUAGUGGUCUAAGGGGCUUGGUGCAAACUCACUCGUCUCACCAGCUCUUCUCUGCAUAUCAAUUAUAGUUUAUAUCACUUCAGUUUCAGCAUCCAGUAAAUGUGUUCAGUAGUAGCAUUUGGUGAUCCUCUCCUACCACUCCCAAGGCCAGACAACCUGCCCCUCCUCUGUUCCCUGCCCUUACACUCCGAUGACAUGUGUGAGUACACUGAACACAUGUGACACACAAAAUACUCUAAAAUCUUUUUAGUUGUAUGUAAAACUGAAUAGUAACAUUGAUGAACUGAUACUGGCAGGGUGUGUAUCAAGGGAAAGGUGAUAGGAGCAGUAAAUUUUCCCACCACGCUCUCUCUCAAUGUCAUUUCUCUGAUGGGCGAUAAGAAUCUUUACUUGUGAAAUUCCAAGCAAUAAUUUGUCCAGUCUGAAAAUGAAGAAACUCUCUGUUGUAUUACUCUUUAUAAGAUACUUUAAGGAUUGCAUUUCUCUGAAAUUGUGUUAUUUCAGAAACUCUAUGUUAGCCUACCUGCCAUAAUACAAUGUCAAUACUUGUGUCUGUUGUUGAGAAGUUGGUUGGUGGUUUGGUCACUUAGUCAGUGAUGUUAGUGGCUUUGCUUUCUGGCACCCACACAGCUGACUGCAUCAGCUAUUCUAAAGCUCACUGUGUCAAGUAACCCUUCUUGGCCUGCUUCCUCCGCUAAAUGUGAACAAGUUUACCUAAUGUGAUUAGAUAUAUUAAUUUAGAAUAGAGAGAUGUUUCACUUCUUUUCAACACAUGCGUAAGUUCUAUUUGCAAACCAAAUGCUGAAGAAAAGCAAGAAAUAUUUAUUGUGGCAAGUAGAGUCACGUUUCAGUCAUGUUUUGUGGAUUUCAAGCCCAACUGCUUGCCAGAUGUAGGUAAAAAGAAGUAACAGUAUCUCUGUUUAUCUCCACAAUCAAUCUAUUUUGACAGUUUUGGUUCGAUUUUUCCUUAAAGGAAAUAUUAAUCUACAUCUUGAAAUUGAGAGAAAGGGAAAAACUAGUAUGACCCAUGUCAGUUCAAUGAUAACAUUCGUGACUGUUGUAAAAUGGCAUUGAAAUUAUUAUUGAAAAGACUGGUCUAUGAGAAAAAGGUUGUUUUUCGGAAAGUAAGGUUCACAAAUGCACGCACAAUUCCUCCAAGCCUGCCAACUAGUUGAUGUUUCUCUUCUUGCCAUAUCACAAGUGAAAGCCAUAUCUCUCCUGUCUUCUAACAUUCAUGAUUCCUUUGUUUCACAGAACAUUGGAAUCAUGAAUCCAACCCAUGCUCUAUCCAAUGCACUGACUGUGACAUACCGGUAACUUUUAUUCAUAUAUUACACUGAAUGUCUAUUUUUGACUAAUUGUUAAUAAAAUAUCUAUAUAUU
Molecule: unclassified non-coding RNA, 4519 nt
Filed under: Haliotis rubra (blacklip abalone)
Lineage: Eukaryota; Metazoa; Mollusca; Gastropoda; Lepetellida; Haliotidae
Description: calcineurin B homologous protein 1-like, transcript variant X1
Source: RNAcentral